This is a non-coding RNA of Laetiporus sulphureus 93-53, 95 nucleotides long. The record is from the annotation of a RefSeq genome assembly. NCBI's taxonomy places the organism in Eukaryota, Fungi, Basidiomycota, Agaricomycetes, Polyporales, Laetiporaceae.
GCCCGCUUAGCUCAGCGGUAGAGCGCGCCACUCGUAGUAGCCUUUCACUGAGCUAUGUGAUGGUGAGGUCGGUUGUUCAAUCCAGCCAGUGGGCA